GAGUGAAAACUGACGGGAGAAGAGAAGAAAAGGGGAGGAAGAAGAGAAAAGAGGGAAAGAUAAGGAAAGGAGAAGAGAAUUGGAGGAAAUAAGUUUAAAGGUAAGAUUAUGUAUAAAUAUGUGUUCUUUAAGCUUUAAGUUCUGUUUUGAUAAAUGUUAGGGUUUUGAAUAUUGUGUUUUGAGUUUGAUUGAUGAAUUAAUUGGAAGGUUAUGAGUUGAUUGUUGUGGGUAAUUGGUUAAUUAGUUGAUUGUGAAAGAUUAGAGGUAAAGAUGAUGAUUUUGAGUUAUGAUUUUAUUUGAAUGGUGAAAUUGUGUUAGAAAUCAGGAGAUGACAGUAGGUAAUCUGUGAAAUUCUGGGUUUGAGGUUGAAGAUGACGAAAAUUCAAUUUGGUCCCUCAAUUUGUGAAAUUACAGUUUAGUCCCUAAACUUUGGGAAAAUUAUAAUUUGACCCCUAAUUGUAUCUUGAGAUUCUGGACAGUGUUAUUAUGAGGUUAAGGAUGAUGAAUCUGAGUUUGAUAAUUGAUUUGGAAUAUUUUCAGUUUGGUCCCUCAAUUUCGGGAAUUUACAUUUUAGUCCCUGAACUUUAUGAAAAUUACAGUUCGGUCCCUGGUUCGUUCUAGACAGAAUUAAGGAUGGUUUAUGGGUGAAAAUUCAGUAUAGUUAUGUAUUUUCCAGAUUGGUCCAAUUUUGGUAAAAUUACGUUUUGGUCCCUGUUUUGGAAAAUUGUCGUUUUAGUCCAUAAACUUAGGAGAAUAAACCUGAUUUUAUUUUAUGCAUUGGGAUCUCUUGUUUGAGUUGCUUUUGAGUAUUUUUCAUAUUGUUGUAGGUUCUCCUAACAAUCCUCAAUAGGAUUUUCGGGUCUUUCGUCUGACAUUCCUUUAGUUCUAUAUUUUUCGGGUGAGUGGGAUAAUCUUUAAUAUGCAUAUAUGAUAAGUAAAUAUGUAUGUUGAUUAUACAAUGAGUACAACUCGUUAAUUUCUUGAAUAAUUAUAUAUGUUGCUUAUUUUCCGAGUACUCAUUUAUUCUUGAAUUUGCACUCGCAAUCUGUCAAAGUAAAUUCUAUUUGAUAUGAUAUACGUUUCUUUGAUGAUUAUGUGAAUAUCUAUUAUGCCUUGAUAUGGGACUUGUCAGUAACUCCAUGCUAACGGAGAGUAGUUAGCCUAUGUGCAUAUAGUAUUUUGUAAACCUAGCUGGUGAGAGAGGCAUCAGCCUGUGGCGACUGAUCAUCCCACAGUGGUCACCUUCGGGUGUCAUCUGGUCUGGUCACCUUCGGGUGUCAUCUGGUCACCUUUGGGUGUCAUCUGAUCUCUGACAUGUAGUCCACUACGUUAUGAUGAUAUGUUUAGUAUGUAUAUGAUAUGUUCAGUAUGUAUAUGUAUAUGUAUAUCAAGAUAAAGGAUCUUGCGAACUAUUAAUAUCAAGAAUAUCUAAAAUGUAUAUUAAUUAUUAUUCCCUCACUGAGUUGGUUGAACUCACCCCUCAUUCUUAAUAUUAUUUCAGGUUCUUAGUUUCUGAUAGCAGGUGAACCUUGUUGAGUGUUCCUGCUUCUUCAGUUUAGGGUCGGUAUGCCUUGCUUAUCUUUCAAGGCUGUUUGAUUCGAUGUCUUAGGUGCUCCAUUAUUACCUUGUUUUGAUUAAGUUUGGAUUUUGACAACGUAAUGAGUAUUAUGGAUUAUUGUUUUUGUUUUAAUUACUGAUGAGGAGUUUUAAACUAUCUUUUGGUUUCAUCAGUUUUGAAUAAUAUAAGAUUUCUGAAGAUUAUGAAAUACUGCGUAUUUUUGAAUAAAUUAUUCCUUUGAUAUGUCCGUUUUGAGGCUUAGCGCGGGCGGGGUGUCCUUCCGGCACCGCUCCUGCGUUGCCGGUCACGGACCCGGGAUUCGGGUCGUGACAAAGGUGGUAUCAGAGCCCGGUUUUUUAUUAAAACCUCAUAACCUGUUUUAUUUAUUUAAAACCCUCGUAAUAUGUGGAGCUUAGGAUCUAUCUUGUCUUGAUGUCAUUCCUCUUAUAAUUCUCCAAUCUAGUGUUUGGUGUGUCCUCCUUAAAACUCCUUUAUAGUUAUGUUGAUACAUAUAUAUAAAUGCAUUUUUUUUAGGAAAUAUGUCGAGAGCUAAACAUGUAGUUAAUGCCGAUUAUGUCGGUAAUGAUCAAGAGGACAUUCCUAUCGCUCAGCUUAGGAAGGAGAGGCGCAAAAAGAGGGUUAGAACCCCUUCGC
Molecule: long non-coding RNA, 2212 nt
Filed under: Populus trichocarpa (black cottonwood)
Lineage: Eukaryota; Viridiplantae; Streptophyta; Magnoliopsida; Malpighiales; Salicaceae
Description: long non-coding RNA (PTRI_LNC004468)
Source: RNAcentral